Molecule: ribosomal RNA, 528 nt
Filed under: uncultured bacterium
Lineage: Bacteria
Description: partial 16S ribosomal RNA
Rfam family: Bacterial small subunit ribosomal RNA
Source: RNAcentral
UGGGGAAUAUUGCACAAUGGGCGCAAGCCUGAUGCAGCCAUGCCGCGUGUGUGAAGAAGGCCUUCGGGUUGUAAAGCACUUUCAGCGAGGAGGAAGGUGGUGAGCUUAAUACGCUCAUCAAUUGACGUUACUCGCAGAAGAAGCACCGGCUAACUCCGUGCCAGCAGCCGCGGUAAUACGGAGGGUGCAAGCGUUAAUCGGAAUUACUGGGCGUAAAGCGCACGCAGGCGGUUUGUUAAGUCAGAUGUGAAAUCCCCGGGCUCAACCUGGGAACUGCAUUUGAAACUGGCAAGCUAGAGUCUCGUAGAGGGGGGUAGAAUUCCAGGUGUAGCGGUGAAAUGCGUAGAGAUCUGGAGGAAUACCGGUGGCGAAGGCGGCCCCCUGGACGAAGACUGACGCUCAGGUGCGAAAGCGUGGGGCAGCAAACAGGAUUAGAUACCCUGGUAGUCCACGCUGUAAACGAUGUCGAUUUGGAGGUUGUGCCCCUUGAGGCGUGGNUUCCGGAGCUAACGCGUUAAAUCGACCGCC